GACGAACGCUGGCGGCGUGCUUAACACAUGCAAGUCGAACGGAAAGGCCCUGCUUUUGUGGGGUGCUCGAGUGGCGAACGGGUGAGUAACACGUGAGUAACCUGCCCUUGACUUUGGGAUAACUUCAGGAAACUGGGGCUAAUACCGGAUAGGAGCUCCUGCUGCAUGGUGGGGGUUGGAAAGUUUCGGCGGUUGGGGAUGGACUCGCGGCUUAUCAGCUUGUUGGUGGGGUAGUGGCUUACCAAGGCUUUGACGGGUAGCCGGCCUGAGAGGGUGACCGGCCACGUUGGGACUGAGAUACGGCCCAGACUCCUACGGGAGGCAGCAGUGGGGAAUAUUGCACAGUGGGCGGAAGCCUGGUGCAGCAACGCCGCGUGCGGGAUGACGGCCUUCGGGUUGUAAACCGCUUUCGCCUGUGACGAAGCGUGAGUGACGGUAAUGGGUAAAGAAGCACCGGCUAACUACGUG
Molecule: ribosomal RNA, 468 nt
Filed under: uncultured bacterium
Lineage: Bacteria
Description: partial 16S ribosomal RNA
Rfam family: Bacterial small subunit ribosomal RNA
Source: RNAcentral